RNAcentral lists this ribosomal RNA (253 nucleotides) under uncultured bacterium. RNAcentral describes it as "partial 16S ribosomal RNA". It matches the Rfam family "Bacterial small subunit ribosomal RNA", at positions 524 to 776 of the family's 1533-position model. The record is from RNAcentral.
UACGUAGGGGGCAAGCGUUGUCCGGAAUCAUUGGGCGUAAAGAGCGUGUAGGCGGCCAGGUAGGUCCGUUGUGAAAACUCGAGGCUUAACCUCGAGACGUCGAUGGAAACCAUCUGGCUAGAGUCCGGAAGAGGAGAGUGGAAUUCAUGGUGUAGCAGUGAAAUGCGUAGAGAUCAUGAGGAGGACCAGUGGCGAAGGCGGGUCUCUGGACAGUUCCUGACACUGAGACACGAAGGCCAGGGGAGCAAACGGG